GAGCAUGCUGGGAAAUGUAGUUCCAGUGGGCCGCGUGAGCAGGCGCACUUCCUGGCUUCAGGUGUUGAGGAUACCCUGACUGUGUUCUGAAUUUUUCAGUGGAGCCGAGUUCCUGAAGACGACUGAGGACAUGAUUCUGAGAUCCAUCAUCAACACCCAAGCCCCUAUCUUUCACCAAGAAUGGGACAUCAGCUUUUCAAAUCAGAUGUUAUCUUCCAAAGGGAACAGACGUUGUCUUCUGCUUGAUCCUGAGCACCAACUCCAAGAAGAAAGUGUCUGAAAAACAAAUAGUGUUAUGGCAUGAUGUUAGAAAAAUUUUCAAAUCCUUGUUCCUAAAACUUCACAUUAGAAGAAUUGGAAUUUGAAAAACACCAGUAAAACUAAAUUACAAGAAAAUUCAAUUCAAGAGGAAGAUUAUGAAUAUAAUAAUUUGGGGAAAAUAUUUAAUCUGAG
RNAcentral lists this long non-coding RNA (453 nucleotides) under Equus asinus (donkey). Its description in RNAcentral is "lncRNA (ENSEASG00005024788.1)". The record is from RNAcentral. Lineage: Eukaryota; Metazoa; Chordata; Mammalia; Perissodactyla; Equidae.